GACGAACGCUGGCGGCGUGCUUAACACAUGCAAGUCGAACGAUGAAGAAGAGAAACGCGAACUUCGGUUCAAAUUUCACUUCGGAUUAGUGGCGGACGGGUGAGUAACGCGUGAGCAACCUACCUCUUACAAAGGGAUAGCCUCGGGAAACCGUGAUUAAUACCAUAUGACACCUUCAUAAGGCAUCUUAAGAAUGUUAAAGCUACGGCGGUAAGAGAUGGGCUCGCGUCCCAUUUGCUAGUUGGUGAGGUAACGGCCCACCAAGGCGACGAUGGGUAACCGGCCUGAGAGGGUGAACGGUCACAUUGGAACUGAGACACGGUCCAAACUCCUACGGGAGGCAGCAGUGGGGAAUAUUGCACAAUGGAGGGAACUCUGAUGCAGCGACGCCGCGUGAGCGAUGAAGGAAUUCGUUUCGUAAAGCUCUGUUCUAUGGGAAGAAAAGGACUGUACCAUAGGAGAAAGCCCCGGCUAAAUACGUG
This 482-nucleotide ribosomal RNA is filed under the name uncultured bacterium. RNAcentral describes it as "partial 16S ribosomal RNA". It matches the Rfam family "Bacterial small subunit ribosomal RNA", at positions 28 to 507 of the family's 1533-position model. The record is from RNAcentral.